AAAGGCUGCCAGCAAAUAAAAUCUGCUCAAUUUUAGAGAAUAUAUUGACUAUGUUGAAAACCGAGUAAGUUUUAUUUAAUUUUUAAAGUUAAUUUAAU
Maniola jurtina (meadow brown) is the source of this 98-nucleotide long non-coding RNA. RefSeq lists it as uncharacterized. The transcript has 3 exons. Lineage: Eukaryota; Metazoa; Arthropoda; Insecta; Lepidoptera; Nymphalidae. The record is from RefSeq and is a predicted model, not a curated record.